AUGAUAUGCUUCUUCGCAGUCGAGUGGCACUUUGUAGACCGUGUGGCAAGACAAUUUGGAAAAAGACAAGGUAUUCCAAUUGAGGAGAGCAAGGAGGAAAUGCUAUCUCUGCAUCGGUUCGAUCGAAGGAACAAUCAGGAUAUAUCGGAUUGGGCAAACAAACACCGUGCGUGGAUAGAAAUUUGGAAUCAAAGAGACACAUUAGUGCAAUCAGAGAAUAGACCUUACAAUCAGUCAGCAUAUCAGAAGUAUCAAGUGUGGUAUGCGGAUCGUUACCGGUUAAAGCUGAAGCCAGGUUGGACUCACGAAGAGUGGUCGGAGUUGGUGUCUGAAGACCCGGAGACUGCAAAAGGUUAUCAUACCUUCAACACGGCUGUGAGAGACACCAGAGGGGCUCAUGUUGACUACGCACCGAUGCAUGACGAAAUGGUAGUCUGUUUGACCUAUUCUAACAUACUUGCAUCAUGUUGUCUUCUUUCAAAUACAUAA
This 489-nucleotide ribosomal RNA is filed under the name Triticum aestivum (bread wheat). RNAcentral describes it as "partial small subunit ribosomal RNA". The record is from RNAcentral. Lineage: Eukaryota; Viridiplantae; Streptophyta; Magnoliopsida; Poales; Poaceae.